AAUCGACCUAGUCAAACAUGCGUUCGACGCCCGCACCAAAGCACACGCCUUUGAUAAGCAAGUUGAAGAACUUGCAAGUGAGCGGUCACAUUUAUUCUCCACUUUUAGGCAGUGGUCCGACUUGGGUCGCUAGCUAAUGCCAAGAACGAGCUCCAAAAAGGUGAAACAAAAAGGCUUUGGACGCGGCUUGGUAUGGGAGGUGGAGAGGGCUGAGUGGCACCAAAAUAAGACCUGCUGCCAAAGUUGCACAACACCACCCCACGGCCAAGGCGUAUUCUUGGGCGAGCUAAUCGAAGGUUAAACGCAAACAAGGCGGUCACCGGUGUUAGCGGCGUUUCAGCACGUUUAUUUCCGAAUGUUGAUUUGAAUUCAUGCAAGACUCAUUUGACGACUUUUUCGUGACUUUGGAAACGUGACGUGAGCGGCAGGUUUCUAAGGAGAACUUCAGCCACUGACCAACUGUGCACCUGCUAACCUGAAGGGAUCAGAGUGAAGAAAUCCAUUAAAUAUAGGCUAAGCUAUGCAUCUACAUUUUUGGUUUUACUGUAAAGAAAAAAAAAACAUUUUGCCUGUUUUCCAGAAUUCAUGAAGUUGGUAAAAUAAUUAUGUUAAUUUUACUAGCAUUAAUAUCAUGGCGCAAUGAGUGAUGAAAAUAAGUUUUUAAAUCUGUGGUUUUCUUUUUACAUAAAUGUUUAGAAUUUUCACCUUUAGACUGGACAGGUAUAAUCCUCUCGCAAUAAUGCUUGUGCCCAAAUGAAUAUCACCAAUGGUCGCUUAGGAUUAGAUUCCGUAUGUAACAUUAAGAAACACACACACACACACACACACACACACACACACACACACACACACACACACACAUACACCAUAUCUAACAUUAAGAAAUAGUUUCUCUGUAUUUCUCAUGGGCAUGUUUGAUGAAUAGAUUUGCCACUGCCAAAUUCCAACAUCUUGCCAAUAAUGCAUGCUCCACCGUAAAUCAUUAUGGAAUUUCAAAUGGUUCAAAUACAGCAGAUCAGGCCCAUAUGUGUGUGUGUGUGUGUGUGUGUGUGUGUGAGAGAGAGAGCUAUACAGUGUAGCGGGAAGAGAGCCCUGCAUAACACGCUUCUCUGUAGAUUAACCCUUGUUUUUAACCCUUGUUUUCCAGACCACUGCCCACAACACGGGCUGAUCCGCCGGACACCAUAGGAUAAGCAAGGUGUCCGCUGUUUCCCUUGACCGGAAUGGCGAACAAAAUGUUUGGGAACCAGGACACAUGCACACACACACACACACACACACACACACACACACACACACACACACACACACACACACACACACACACACACACACACACACACACACACACACACACACACACACACAUUCACUCUCUAU
Molecule: long non-coding RNA, 1380 nt
Organism: Sardina pilchardus (European sardine)
Lineage: Eukaryota; Metazoa; Chordata; Actinopteri; Clupeiformes; Clupeidae
Exons: 2
Source: RefSeq, a predicted model, not a curated record